RNAcentral lists this small RNA (378 nucleotides) under Rattus norvegicus (Norway rat). RNAcentral describes it as "uncharacterized LOC108351739". The record is from RNAcentral. Lineage: Eukaryota; Metazoa; Chordata; Mammalia; Rodentia; Muridae.
UUGUCUUACUUUGUGGUUUCCAGGUUGGGGAUCUGGAGCUGCAAUUAACAUUGUUGCCACGUUCAUCAAGACCUUGACCGUGACCAGAUGACAUCAAUAUGGUGGUCCAUCAUUCCAAGAUAGUCGACACUCCAUAAGCACAUGUCACUUGAUGAAGCUCGUGAGAGGAGCAUGUGGAGUCCAGCUUCAGUGUCUGCACACCACAGAAUGAGGAUGCUACCUACUCACUCUCGACUGCCACAGAGGCAGCCAGAACCAUAAAUAGUUGUCCUUUAUGGUCUUUCUGCAUUUGUUCUUACUUUUUUUUGUUAUUUUUCCCCCUCCUUUCCUCGAACCAUCUAAUAACAGAACUAGUGAAGUAUAAGCCAGGGGUUCAAA